AACGCUGGCGGCAGGCUUAACACAUGCAAGUCGAGCGGAUGAAAGUAGCUUGCUACUGGAUUCAGCGGCGGACGGGUGAGUAAUGCUUAGGAAUCUGCCUAUUAGUGGGGGACAACGUUCCGAAAGGGGCGCUAAUACCGCAUACGUCCUACGGGAGAAAGCAGGGGACCUUCGGGCCUUGCGCUAAUAGAUGAGCCUAAGUCGGAUUAGCUAGUUGGUAGGGUAAAGGCCUACCAAGGCGACGAUCUGUAGCGGGUCUGAGAGGAUGAUCCGCCACACUGGGACUGAGACACGGCCCAGACUCCUACGGGAGGCAGCAGUGGGGAAUAUUGGACAAUGGGGGGAACCCUGAUCCAGCCAUGCCGCGUGUGUGAAGAAGGCCUUUUGGUUGUAAAGCACUUUAAGCGAGGAGGAGGCUACCUAGAUUAAUACUUUAGGAUAGUGGACGUUACUCGCAGAAUAAGCACCGGCUAACUCUGUGCCAGCAGCCGCGGUAAUACAGAGGGUGCGAGCGUUAAUCGGAUUUACUGGGCGUAAAGCGUGCGUAGGCGGCCAAUUAAGUCAAAUGUGAAAUCCCCGAGCUUGACUUGGGAAUUGCAUUCGAUACUGGUUGGCUAGAGUAUGGGAGAGGAUGGGUAGAAUUCCAGGUGUAGCGGUGAAAUGCGUAGAGAUCU
This 674-nucleotide ribosomal RNA is filed under the name Acinetobacter radioresistens WC-A-157. RNAcentral describes it as "bacterial SSU rRNA". It matches the Rfam family "Bacterial small subunit ribosomal RNA", at positions 32 to 699 of the family's 1533-position model. The record is from RNAcentral. Lineage: Bacteria; Pseudomonadati; Pseudomonadota; Gammaproteobacteria; Moraxellales; Moraxellaceae.